Molecule: ribosomal RNA, 416 nt
Filed under: Bacillota bacterium
Lineage: Bacteria; Bacillati; Bacillota
Description: Firmicutes bacterium partial 16S ribosomal RNA
Rfam family: Bacterial small subunit ribosomal RNA
Source: RNAcentral
UGGGGAAUCUUGCACAAUGGGCGAAAGCCUGAUGCAGCGACGCCGCGUGGGGGAUGAAGCAUCUCGGUGUGUAAACCCCUUUCGAUUCGGACGAAUGCCCGCAAGGGAGUGACGGUACGGAUAUAAGAAGCCCCGGCUAACUACGUGCCAGCAGCCGCGGUAAGACGUAGGGGGCCAGCGUUGUUCGGAAUUACUGGGUGUAAAGGGUUCGUAGGCGGUGCGGCAAGUUGGGAGUGAAAUCUCUGGGCUUAACCCAGAGGCUGCUUCAAAAACUGCUGUGCUCGAGUGUGGGAGAGGAGCGUGGAAUUGCAGGUGUAACGGUGAAAUGCGUAGAUAUCUGCAGGAACACCCGUGGCGAAAGCGGCGCGAUGGACCACUACUGACGCUGAGGAACGAAAGCUAGGGGAGAAAACAGG